This is a small nucleolar RNA of Sorex fumeus (smoky shrew), 105 nucleotides long. RefSeq annotates it as small nucleolar RNA U13. Lineage: Eukaryota; Metazoa; Chordata; Mammalia; Eulipotyphla; Soricidae. The transcript has a single exon. The record is from RefSeq and is a predicted model, not a curated record.
AUCUCUGUCUGGUUCAUAAGCACAAUGACUGGGUGUUCACAUGUUUCUGUGACAAGUGCCUCCUUUAAGUCUCAUUACAUCAGCACGUGACCCACCCAUCUGACA